CGGGUGAGUAACACGUGAGUGACCUGCCCUUUAGACUGGAACAACUUACCGAAAGGUGAGCUAAUGCCGGAUGAGUUAUAUAAGUGCAUGUUUAUAUAGGAAAAGUUGGGGAGACCUGACGCUGAAAGAUGGACUCGCGUCCCAUUAGCUAGUUGGUAGGGUAAUGGCCUACCAAGGCGACGAUGGGUAGCCGGCCUGAGAGGGUGGCCGGCCACACUGGGACUGAGACACGGCCCAGACUCCUACGGGAGGCAGCAG
RNAcentral lists this ribosomal RNA (258 nucleotides) under uncultured bacterium. Its description in RNAcentral is "partial 16S ribosomal RNA". It matches the Rfam family "Bacterial small subunit ribosomal RNA", at positions 103 to 354 of the family's 1533-position model. The record is from RNAcentral.